RNAcentral lists this unclassified non-coding RNA (206 nucleotides) under Hevea brasiliensis (rubber tree). The record is from RNAcentral. Lineage: Eukaryota; Viridiplantae; Streptophyta; Magnoliopsida; Malpighiales; Euphorbiaceae.
AUGACCAAAACCUUUGUUAUUUAUAAUGGUUUAAAUCCAAUCCAAUGAAAGACACGUACAUUUGCCAAAAUUGGAUUGAAGCUUCAUGCAUGCCACCAUAGGAUGUGGAGUAGGUUGAGAUUUUUUAGCCUUUUGACAGGGGAGAAUGCUUCCAAUGCCUGACUCGUUCAAUUGCUAUAUUUCUCGUGUUAGGAUUUAACUUUUUA